Small nucleolar RNA from Mastomys coucha (southern multimammate mouse), 130 nucleotides. RefSeq annotates it as small nucleolar RNA SNORA17. Lineage: Eukaryota; Metazoa; Chordata; Mammalia; Rodentia; Muridae. The transcript has a single exon. The record is from RefSeq and is a predicted model, not a curated record.
CUUGCCCCUAGAGGCAUGGCAGGCGUGGCUGCUCUGUCACAGGUGCAACAAUAGGUGGCAGGGAGGAGAGAAGAUGUUUAUGCUUGGUGUUCUGAGCUAUGAACACCUAAAUGAUUAGCAGCCUAACACU